UGGCGGACCGGAAGCUGCGGGGUGGGUCCACUCGGAGGUACCGGCUGUGAGGGCAACCCGCACCGGGCGCCCGGGCCGAGCAGGCCGCGGGGCCCCUCCUCAGCGCCGGGGCCGAGCUGAGCCGAGCCCGGGCGCGGCGUUUUCAGCGCUCGGAGCCGCCCCGUCAGCACCCGCGGGCCCCCCACACGCUGCCCCGCCCGUGAUGGGGGAGCACCCGCCGGGAGCGUGGGGUGCGCGGUUCGGUUUGUCUGAGGUGUGCCACCGGUCGUGGUCCGUCCUAAGCACACGCGGAGAAUAAAGGCUCGGAUCUGAAUGGAACGAAGCGCACGAUUAAAAUGAGAAAACGGGCACCAGUGGUUGCAGGUUUGGAGCCCUAAGACGUUCUUUUGUUCCACCAUCACAUAUGUUGGGGUACAGGUGGUGAAAGUACGUCACUGCUCCUGGUUGUGUGUUUCCAAUGGAAAAGGUAAUUUGAUUGACAUCAUAUAGUUACACCCACUAUUUAGAUAUGACUUACAGUUUUUGGAACAGCGUCGGUAAUUGAGCAAGCGAUGCUUGUAAAUGUAUUCAUUUAAUGAUGGGCCUUUCUAAAUAACAUAUGCCAUAAAAAUGACUCAUUAAAUCUAUUUGCUGCCUUAACUAAAUUUCCUGACAAAGGACAAUGAGGAAAAUGCAACUAGCUGUAGAGAGAGAUCUUUUUGUGAACUACUGUAACAUGACUGAUUCUGUAAUUUAAAAAAUUACAUUUCAGCUUUGCCCAGCUUAAUACAGUAUAUCAUCUCAAUUGUGAUUGCAUUUUCUAAGGGGUCUAGUAGUAUUUGCUAGAGACUAGGAGGUAAUUAAGCACACUUUGCUUUAUUGUGUGUUUUAAUAUAUGCAGAUAUCACACGCUAGGCCCUUCGUAAUUUACCUUCAUGCGCGGGGUAAGAUUUUUAUAUUGGCCUACCCAAAAACUGUUACAAACAUCUAGCAAUGCUGAAUAGUAUUUGAAAUGUACAUUAUAAAAUGUUACUUAAAUCUUCAGGUAUAGAGAGAUAGGUACUCACUAAAAUUCAGAAGUUACUGUUAUAACCUAAACACUCUCUCUGGAAGUAUAGCAGCUUCAGGAAGGUGGUUUUUAAUUUUCCUCCAGACAAGAACACUUAGCUACAUUAUAUUUAAAACUUCAUUAAGAUACAUCCAUGACCCUUUCUUUGAAUACCAUGAAUGCACCUAUGUCUAUACAGCGAUACAUUAGUGCGUGUACAUGUUUUCAAAUACACAACAAUACUUGAUGCUGCAAAGACUUGUAGAUUUUUAAUUUUUUUCAGUCAAGGCCUAUAUAGCAUAAAACCCAGAGUUACCAUAAAUAGUAAUAAAAUGUUAAGACCUC
Aquila chrysaetos chrysaetos is the source of this 1372-nucleotide long non-coding RNA. RefSeq lists it as uncharacterized. Lineage: Eukaryota; Metazoa; Chordata; Aves; Accipitriformes; Accipitridae. The transcript is spliced from 2 exons. The record is from RefSeq and is a predicted model, not a curated record.